Molecule: non-coding RNA, 792 nt
Organism: Cinara cedri
Lineage: Eukaryota; Metazoa; Arthropoda; Insecta; Hemiptera; Aphididae
Source: the annotation of a GenBank genome assembly
AAGGGUAUUAGUGAUGUCACUACAGCAAAUAUUAUUAUUGGCAACGUACCUUAUGAUGAUGAUGAGCUGCAAGAAUGAAGCAGCUGACGCUGCUAAACAAAAGAUAACGUAAUACCCAUUAUAUAAUAAUAGGUAAUAAUGUAUGUUGAAAUUAUUAUCGAGCCACAGAUUAUAUGAAUAUAUAAUCUAUAAUGGAAUUUUAUAUUACAAAUUAGAUGUUUUAUAACAAGUUGAACCAUUCACAGUGUAUAUGCGAUUACAACAAUUAUAAGGAUUACUGGAAAUACAGUGUGGCAUGUGCAGCAGGGUCUAUCUCGUUAAUUUAGUUAAUUUACGGGUGGCGGGAGAUAGUACGGCCAAAUGAAACUAAUGUAGCGAUAAGGUUUUAAAUUAACUGGGGAAAAUCAGGCAGCCGUGUAUUUUAAUGGAAACAAGAAUAACUGCACUUUAGGAGGUAAUUUUGGACAGAUCGACUCAAAAACGACACCGGUCUGAGCGCGCACUUUUUAUAAAUCAGUGGACGAGUAAAACGUAAACAAUUUUAACUGGAGAAAAUAAAGUAAAACUGGGUGCGGUAUUAGUACCUAUGUUUUACACUGCACUGCGUCUAACUUCUAGCGAUCAAGUAUCUAUACGUUCUUUAUUUAAGAAUAAAUAAAUAAAAUAUUACACUUGAUUUUAUAUAUUAUGUUGUUAACACAAUAUUAUAAAACACAGGCUCUAAAUUUUGCUCUCAUCAAUUUAAAGGUUUUAUGUUACUGACAUUAAAUUUUGUUCGUGCCUGUACUGAAG